Molecule: long non-coding RNA, 1627 nt
Organism: Sinocyclocheilus anshuiensis
Lineage: Eukaryota; Metazoa; Chordata; Actinopteri; Cypriniformes; Cyprinidae
Product: zinc finger protein 318-like
Source: Ensembl
CGUUGGCGUAUAUAACAUAAGUGAAACAGUUUUGAACUGGCAUUGGUUAGACAGGCGUUUCUGUGAUCUGCGCUGUGGUUCCAGUCCUGCAGGCGGCGCUGUGGCUGCGCUCAGACUCAUGUAGACGCACAGGAGCUCAGAGAGUGAAUAAAAAAAUUAACUCGUUGUAACUACACAUAUUUUGAUCAGAUAUAUAUGUACAAAAAUGUACCGAGGUACGUCAAACCCGGACUAUCACCGGCCACUGGUACCCCCGUCAGGGUUUGGACACCCCGCAGCAUCUUUUGGACCUCCGCCGUUCUGCCCUCCUUUUGGGGUUCCUCCGGGGCCUCGAUACUGUGUUCCACCGCCCGGUCCUUCUCCGGGACGCCCGUACGGAACAGGGAAUGAAAACUACAACAGAAAAUCUUUUUACGAGAGCCGACCCUUCACCAGCCCCACUGCUGACCAAAGUGGAUCCACGCUGAUCAGCUCUCUGCUCACACCUUCAAACCAGCAUCAGCUUGGUCACUCCUCACAAAACUGGUCAACCCAAAGUCUAGAUGAGCAAAACCAAGAAGUCAGGAAAAAGGCAGAAGAGUUUCUCCGAAUCCUGGAAGCAAGUGACCGGAUUGAGCUGGCAGGAGAUAAAAGUGACAAUGGCACAGGAGACGAGCAUCCAAGCCGAACGCGGAGUCGGAGCAGAGGGAGGAGCCGUCCACGCAGUCGCAGCAGGAGCUGUGGAAGGAGCCGGGCUCGUAGUCGAGCUCGGAGUCGUGGAAAGAGUCGGGCUCGCAGCAGAACACGCAGCCGUAGUCACAGUCGAGGUAAAAGCCGCACAAGGGCCAAAAGUCGUGCGAGGAGUCGUAGCCGCAGUCGUAGUCACGGGAAGAGCGGAACGCACAGUAAGAGUCAGUCACGCCUAAGCCCCAGCCAGACAAAACAUUCUUCCAGAGGGACUGCUGAAGGCUCUAGCAGCACCAGCAGCGGAAUAAGUCUUGGCGGUAGUGCCAUGCCUGAUCUAUUUCAUGGACUAAGACAGAUCCUACAGAACAAGGAUCUAGACAAACACCUGCCUUUGGUCAAGGACGCCCUACUUAGAAACCAGGUGCACAACACUAUUCUGUUAUGUUUUGAGUUUGAGUCUCUUAUGUUUUUUGGUUUAUGGUUCAAUGAAUGACAUGAUGUUUAUUAAAGCUACACUAUGUAACUUUUUUUUUUUUUUUAAUAAAACAAUGUUAUUGAGACCGUCCAAAAUAAUCCAACUUCCAACCCAUUUUUACCCAAAUCCACUUUGAUAAACCUGUAAUAAUAUUAAUGUAAUACAAUACAAUAUAAAGCUGUUACAAUGUUUUUACGGGAAAUUGUAUACAAACAUCAUUCCCCCAUGCUUGCCAUGUAAUUUCUGUACACAGAGAAAAGUAGCUUAGGCUGUGGGUAGCAUAAACAAGAAAACUUGACCAUAAAUCAUUCAAAAUGGCAAACCUCUGAAGAAUCACCAAUUGUAAAGACAAAAAGUAUAAAAACAUAGUAUGUAGCUAAAAAGGAAAAACAUUAAAAUGCAAUUCAUACAGACUUGGUUUUUAAUAAAAAAAAAAAAAAAGUAAAUAAAAUUUUGAUAUUUAUUUGGAUCUUUUGAAAAUUCUAG